CUCACUCACCUACGUCAAAUGUAGUAUCUGUUCUUAUCAGUUUAAUAUUUUAUAUGUUCCCUGUCUGGGGACCACAUAUUUAAUGGAUUUUUGGAAGGAGAGCUUUC
Non-coding RNA from Pelobates cultripes (western spadefoot toad), 107 nucleotides. Lineage: Eukaryota; Metazoa; Chordata; Amphibia; Anura; Pelobatidae. The record is from the annotation of a GenBank genome assembly.